RNAcentral lists this ribosomal RNA (241 nucleotides) under uncultured bacterium. RNAcentral describes it as "partial 16S ribosomal RNA". It matches the Rfam family "Bacterial small subunit ribosomal RNA", at positions 18 to 253 of the family's 1533-position model. The record is from RNAcentral.
CCUGGCUCAGAUUGAACGCUGGCGGCAGGCCUAACACAUGCAAGUCGAACGGUAACAGAAAGCAGCUUGCUGCUUUGCUGACGAGUGGCGGACGGGUGAGUAAUGUCUGGGAAACUGCCUGAUGGAGGGGGGAUAACUACUGGAAACGGUAGCUAAUACCGCAUAACGUCGCAAGACCAAAGAGGGGGGACCUUCGGGCCUCUUGCCAUCGGAUGUGCCCAGAUGGGAUUAGCUUGUUGGG